Molecule: ribosomal RNA, 521 nt
Filed under: uncultured bacterium
Lineage: Bacteria
Description: bacterial SSU rRNA
Rfam family: Bacterial small subunit ribosomal RNA
Source: RNAcentral
UAUGGCUCAGAACGAACGCUGGCGGCGUGCUUAACACAUGCAAGUCGAACGCGAAAGGGACUUCGGUCCUGAGUAAAGUGGCGCACGGGUGAGUAACGCGUAGAUAACCUGUCUUCAUGUCUGGAAUAAUACGCCGAAAGGGGUACUAAUACCGGAUAUUCUUGCUUUUCAUAAGUUAUGCAAGCAAAGGUGGCCUCUGCAUAUGCUACUGCAUGAAGAGGGGUCUGCGUACCAUUAGCUAGUAGGUGGGGUAAUGGCCUACCUAGGCGACGAUGGUUAGCGGGUCUGAGAGGAUGAUCCGCCACACUGGCACUGGAACACGGGCCAGACUCCUACGGGAGGCAGCAGUGGGGAAUAUUGCGCAAUGGGGGAAACCCUGACGCAGCGACGCCGCGUGAAGUGAGGAAGGCCUUCGGGUCGUAAAGCUCUGUCAAGAGGAAAGAAGUGUACAAUGGCUAAUACCUGUUGUAUUUGACGGUACCUCUAAAGGAAGCACCGGCUAACUCCGUGCCAGCCGCUGC